GCCAACAUCGGUUCUGAGGGUCGGUCAAAGGCCCUGGGAAUGUAUCUACCUACGGGUAGACUUAUAGACCAGGGUGUCAUGCGGCCUCUCGGGACCGAGGAACGCGCUUCGGCUCGGAUGUUGGCGUAAUGGUUGUCAGCGA
RNAcentral lists this ribosomal RNA (142 nucleotides) under Cladophialophora chaetospira. RNAcentral describes it as "partial large subunit ribosomal RNA". Lineage: Eukaryota; Fungi; Ascomycota; Eurotiomycetes; Chaetothyriales; Herpotrichiellaceae. The record is from RNAcentral.